Molecule: ribosomal RNA, 492 nt
Filed under: uncultured bacterium
Lineage: Bacteria
Description: partial 16S ribosomal RNA
Rfam family: Bacterial small subunit ribosomal RNA
Source: RNAcentral
AGUGAACGCUGGCGGUAGGCCUAACACAUGCAAGUCGAACGGCAGCGCAGUAAGAGCUUGCUCUUACGGGUGGCGAGUGGCGGGCGGGUGAGGAAUACAUCGUAAUCUACUUUUUCGUGGGGGAUAACGUAGGGAAACUUACUCUAAUACCGCAGACGACCUACGGGUGAGAGCAGGGGAUCUUCGGAGCUUGCGCGGUUGAAUGAGCCGAUGUCGGAUUAGCUAGUUGGCGGGGUAAAGGCCCACCAAGGCGACGAUCCGUAGCUGGUCUGAGAGGAUGAUCAGCCACACUGGAACUGAGACACGGUCCAGACUCCUACGGGAGGCAGCAGUGGGGAAUAUUGGACAAUGGGCGCAAGCCUGACCCAGCCAUACCGCGUGGGUGAAGAAGGCCUUCGGGUCGUAAAGCCCUUUUGUUGGGAAAGAACAGCAGCAGGUUAAUACGCCGCUGUUCUGACGGUACCCAAAGAAUAAGCACCGGCUAACUUCGUG